CCUACGGGUGGCAGCAGUGAGGAAUAUUGGUCAAUGGGCGAGAGCCUGAACCAGCCAAGUCGCGUGAGGGAGUACUGCCCUAUGGGUUGUAAACCUCUUUUGUCGGGGAGCAAAAGCCGGACGUGUCCGGCUGUGAGAGUACCCGAAGAAAAAGCAUCGGCUAACUCCGUGCCAGCAGCCGCGGUAAUACGGAGGAUGCGAGCGUUAUCCGGAUUUAUUGGGUUUAAAGGGGGCGCAGGCGGAUUUUUAAGUCAGCGGUAAAAUCGUGGGGCUCAACCCCCUCCAGCCGUUGAAACUGGGGAUCUAGAGUGUGCGAGAGGUAUGCGGAAUGCGUGGUGUAGCGGUGAAAUGCAUAGAUAUCACGCAGAACCCCGAUUGCGAAGGCAGCAUACCGGUGCACAACUGACGCUCAGGCACGAAAGCGUGGGUAUCGAACAGGAUUAGAUACCCUAGUAGUC
RNAcentral lists this ribosomal RNA (458 nucleotides) under uncultured bacterium. RNAcentral's name for it is "partial 16S ribosomal RNA". It matches the Rfam family "Bacterial small subunit ribosomal RNA", at positions 338 to 795 of the family's 1533-position model. The record is from RNAcentral.